Molecule: ribosomal RNA, 253 nt
Filed under: uncultured bacterium
Lineage: Bacteria
Description: partial 16S ribosomal RNA
Rfam family: Bacterial small subunit ribosomal RNA
Source: RNAcentral
UACAGAGGUCUCAAGCGUUGUUCGGAUUCAUUGGGCGUAAAGGGUGCGUAGGCGGCGCGGUAAGUCGGGUGUGAAAUCUCGGAGCUUAACUCCGAAAUUGCAUUCGAUACUGCCGUGCUUGAGGACUGGAGAGGAGACUGGAAUUUACGGUGUAGCGGUGAAAUGCGUAGAUAUCGUAAGGAAGGCCAGUGGCGAAGGCGGGUCUCUGGACAGUUCCUGACGCUGAGGCACGAAGGUCAGGGGAGCAAACGGG